AUUGAACGUUGGCGGCAGGCCUAAAACAUGCAAGUCGAACGGUAACAGCGGGAGCUUGCUCCCGGCUGACGAGUGGCGGACGGGUGAGUAACACGUAGGAAUCUACCUAACAGUGGGGGACAACCCGGGGAAACCCGGGCUAAUACCGCAUACGCUCUACGGAGGAAAGCGGGGGAUCUUCGGACCUCGCGCUGCUUGAGGAGCCUGCGUCGGAUUAGCUAGUUGGUGGGGUAAAGGCCUACCAAGGCGACGAUCCGUAGCUGGUCUGAGAGGACGAUCAGCCACACUGGAACUGAGACACGGUCCAGACUCCUACGGGAGGCAGCAGUUAGGAAUCUUGGGCAAUGGGCGAAAGCCUGACCCAGCCAUGCCGCGUGUGUGAAGAAGGCCUUCGGGUUGUAAAGCACUUUCAGCGGUGAAGAAAAGCUUGGGGUUAAUAUCCCCUGAGUCUUGACGUUAGCCGCAGAAGAAGCACCGGCUAACUCCGUGCCAGCCGCCGCAGUAA
Molecule: ribosomal RNA, 505 nt
Filed under: uncultured bacterium
Lineage: Bacteria
Description: partial 16S ribosomal RNA
Rfam family: Bacterial small subunit ribosomal RNA
Source: RNAcentral